This 465-nucleotide ribosomal RNA is filed under the name uncultured Klebsiella sp. RNAcentral describes it as "bacterial SSU rRNA". It matches the Rfam family "Bacterial small subunit ribosomal RNA", at positions 338 to 795 of the family's 1533-position model. The record is from RNAcentral. Lineage: Bacteria; Pseudomonadati; Pseudomonadota; Gammaproteobacteria; Enterobacterales; Enterobacteriaceae.
CCUACGGGAGGCUGCAGUGGGGAAUAUUGCACAAUGGGCGCAAGCCUGAUGCAGCCAUGCCGCGUGUGUGAAGAAGGCCUUCGGGUUGUAAAGCACUUUCAGCGGGGAGGAAGGCGUUAAGGUUAAUAACCUUGGCGAUUGACGUUACCCGCAGAAGAAGCACCGGCUAACUCCGUGCCAGCAGCCGCGGUAAUACGGAGGGUGCAAGCGUUAAUCGGAAUUACUGGGCGUAAAGCGCACGCAGGCGGUCUGUCAAGUCGGAUGUGAAAUCCCCGGGCUCAACCUGGGAACUGCAUUCGAAACUGGCAGGCUAGAGUCUUGUAGAGCGGGGUAGAAUUCCAGGUGUAGCGGUGAAAUGCGUAGAGAUCUGGAGGAAUACCGGUGGCGAAGGCGGCCCCCUGGACAAAGACUGACGCUCAGGUGCGAAAGCGUGGGGAGCAAACAGGAUUAGAUACCCCAGUAGUC